Long non-coding RNA from Olea europaea var. sylvestris, 466 nucleotides. RefSeq lists it as uncharacterized. The record is from RefSeq and is a predicted model, not a curated record. The transcript has 4 exons. Lineage: Eukaryota; Viridiplantae; Streptophyta; Magnoliopsida; Lamiales; Oleaceae.
GAAAGAAAAGAGGGAAGAAAAAGAAGAAAAGGAAGGAAAGGAAAAAGAAAGGAAAAGAGAUUUUAAGGAAGGAAUAUAUAUGUUUUCAAGUCAAUAUUUUUGAAUUGGAGAUGCUAUUUACACUAAGGUGGUAACGUGAAAGCUGUGCAAGGCUGGUAAAAUUAAACCAGAUUGCUAUUCAUAGAUCUACAGAAAAUAGACAAAUUGAGCAGCUUUGGAGCAUGUCGAACCACUGAAUUGAGCCACGCGUCAUAUGUUGUAUGACAUCUUUUAUCAGAUUAUAUAUUGUGUUCUUUUGGGAUAUACAUAAGUUAAAUCAGAAAAGUUCAUUAUGGGCUCAUUAGAUAUUUGGUAUCUUUAGUACUUUUGAAGAUUAUUGGUUGUAAAUCAAGUAAAUAUUGAUUUCCUAGCAUUUUAUUUGAAUAGUUUGUAUUUUUGAGGGACUGGCAUACCCUGAUUUAUUUUA